This 280-nucleotide unclassified non-coding RNA is filed under the name Hevea brasiliensis (rubber tree). The record is from RNAcentral. Lineage: Eukaryota; Viridiplantae; Streptophyta; Magnoliopsida; Malpighiales; Euphorbiaceae.
AGGCAACCGCGCCUUGCCGGGCGACAGGCCCGGACGCUCGGCGGCGAAGGUCACUUCAAGUUCGGGCUGCUUGGCGAUGGCCCGCAACGCAGACGUCACCGCGCGCUUGAACGGCUCCGUCGGAGAUUCCUUCGACCCGGUCCUGAACUUGAUAUUCGACGUGCUCAUGCAACCUUUCCUCCCCGCUCAAAGGGGAGAGGCAAACCUAGCUCAACGCCACAUUGACCGCGGAUUCCGGCAGCUCCGCAUUGAAGCAGCGCUGAUAGAACUCCGCCACCAG